CGGGAUGUGGCUCAGCUUGGUAGAGCGCCUCGUUCGGGACGAGGAGGUCGGAGGUUCGAAUCCUCUCAUCCCGACCA
RNAcentral lists this transfer RNA (77 nucleotides) under Pseudomonadota bacterium. RNAcentral describes it as "tRNA-Pro". It matches the Rfam family "tRNA". Rfam says of the family: Transfer RNA (tRNA) molecules are approximately 80 nucleotides in length. Lineage: Bacteria; Pseudomonadati; Pseudomonadota. RNAcentral also lists the same sequence under 4 other names. The record is from RNAcentral.